This 71-nucleotide transfer RNA is filed under the name Bos taurus (domestic cattle). It matches the Rfam family "tRNA". From Rfam's summary of the family: Transfer RNA (tRNA) molecules are approximately 80 nucleotides in length. Lineage: Eukaryota; Metazoa; Chordata; Mammalia; Artiodactyla; Bovidae. The record is from Rfam by way of RNAcentral. RNAcentral also lists the same sequence under 5 other names.
UCCUUGGUAGUCCAGUGGUUAAGACUGCACUUCCACUGCAGAGAGCACUGGUUCAAUCCCUGAUCAGGGAA